Molecule: ribosomal RNA, 503 nt
Filed under: uncultured bacterium
Lineage: Bacteria
Description: bacterial SSU rRNA
Rfam family: Bacterial small subunit ribosomal RNA
Source: RNAcentral
GAUGAACGCUAGCGGCAGGCCUAAUACAUGCAAGACGAACGGUAAGUUGAGUAGCAAUACUUAGCCAAGAGUGUCGUACGGGUGCGUAACACGUAUGCAACCUACCCUAUACAGGAGGAUAGCCUAGGGAAACCUGGAUUAACCCUUCAUAGUAUUAUUGGAUGGCAUCAUUUGAUAAUUAAAACUGAGGUGGUAUAGGAUGGGCAUGCGUCUGAUUAGUUAGUUGGCGGGGUAAUGGCCCACCAAGACGAUGAUCAGUAGGGGUUCUGAGAGGAAGAUCCCCCCACACUGGCACUGAGAUACGGGCCAGACUCCUACGGGAGGCAGCAGUAGGGAAUAUUGGUCAAUGGAUGCAAGUCUGAACCAGCCAUGCCGCGUGCAGGAAGAAGGCCCUUCUGGGGUUGUAAACUGCUUUUGCCAGGGGAUAAAAUUUCCAUGCGUGGAAAACUGAAGGUACCUGGUGAAUAAGCCACGGCUAACUACGUGCCAGCAGCCGCGGUAAU